Molecule: unclassified non-coding RNA, 279 nt
Filed under: Hevea brasiliensis (rubber tree)
Lineage: Eukaryota; Viridiplantae; Streptophyta; Magnoliopsida; Malpighiales; Euphorbiaceae
Source: RNAcentral
AGGAUGCAGUUAUAAGGCACUAAAGGAUAUUCUAUGGCCAGAUUUUCAGUUAAAGGACUCUGCUUAAAACUAACUAAAUAGUCAACUAUUGGAUUUGAAAUCAAAUGGUGCGGUUGAGCUUCCAAGGACAAACAUGCUCAUCAGCGGAAGUGUGCACACAUAACGGUGUGCUUGUUGUUUGAAUUAAAAACGCAUAGAAAUCCAUAGCGCUAUCUAUAUUCUCCACAUAUAAAAACGAUGCCUUUCACCAAGACCAGAAAACUAAUAAACAUAAAAAAG